GAGCAGCUCCGGCGCGUGGUCACCAGUGAGGAUCCGCGGUACAUCUAUCAGGAUGGUGGUGCCCUGGCAGAGCUGGAGGGAGAGCUCACCGAUGACCUCUGCACCAUCAUCUCCAUCAGGCCGGAGCCAGAGCCAAAGCCGAAGCCCUGCACUGUGCAAUGCCCCAGGGGCGAGAAGGGAGAUCGCGGCGAGGCAGUGAGUGCUUUGGCAUCCCACCCCUGGCUGGUGGCUCUGGGGAGGGGGCUGCAUACCCCAAAGCAUGCUGAUGCCAGCCCACAGGGGGUGCUCACCACUGACUUUGUCUCCACAGGGACCACAAGGACGCAUGGGGCCACCAGGUCCCCCUGGCGAGCCGGUAAUAUCCUGAUGGGGGGAGGGAGAUGGGGGGCAGCUCCCUGGCAGGGGGCAUGGACAUGGUCCCCGCAUCCCCUUGUCCUGCUGACAGGUGGGUGUGGGCCAGGGACCUGUCCAGCCCUUGACACAGGGGUAGACAGAGAACAUCCCUUGGCCACCACUUGCCACCCAGCCUCUCCUCUCCGCUGUCACCCCAGGGCCGCCAUGGACCGCCUGGCCCUCCAGGACCCCCAGGGCCACAGGGUCUGCCAGGAGAGAGCGCCGAGCGGCCAGGCAAGAAGGGGGACAGGGGAUUCCCUGGAGCUGAUGGGACACCAGGAAGCCCCGGCCGCCCUGGGAACCCUGGAUCACCUGGUCAGCCGGGCAUCCAGGGCAUCCCUGGCCCCCGAGGGGAUCCCGGGACACGGGGGCCGAUGGGGCUUUCUGGUCCAAAGGGGGAGAAGGGUGAGCCGGUAAGUAAUGGGCAUGGGGCUGCCCCAUGGGAGUCCCUGGGGAGCAGUGGGGAUCCUGACGGGCACAUCUCAGCCCCUGGCAUCUCCUGAUACUUGAUGUCUGGGUGACCCC
RNAcentral lists this long non-coding RNA (918 nucleotides) under Calidris pygmaea (Spoon-billed sandpiper). RNAcentral's name for it is "lncRNA (ENSCPGG00000019489.1)". Lineage: Eukaryota; Metazoa; Chordata; Aves; Charadriiformes; Scolopacidae. The record is from RNAcentral.